This 954-nucleotide long non-coding RNA is filed under the name Manihot esculenta (cassava). RNAcentral describes it as "long non-coding RNA (MESC_LNC003627)". The record is from RNAcentral. Lineage: Eukaryota; Viridiplantae; Streptophyta; Magnoliopsida; Malpighiales; Euphorbiaceae.
CCCAUUGCCUCAAAGUACCUCUCAACAGCCCAUAAGAAAUUAUCUAUCUCCCUCGCACUACGCUCACCACUAUAAGGCUUAGGCUUGGGAGCAUCAUACCUUAUAUUGGCAGCAACCCCACUUGUGCUUGCACCCCUACUGCUUGCCACCACAGUCUUGCACAAGUUUAGCUCCACAUCAAGCUAGUCCACCUUCUCUCGCAAUUGGCGUAGGGUUUUCUCCAACUUAUCCCCCUUCUUGGACACCAAGUCCACUGCCACAUUCAAGACUCCUUGCAUUUCAUCCCUAAGCUCAUUCACGUCCCCCUUGGACUCGAGCUCGAAAAUGCGAAGGUUUAUGUCCUCACACUUCUCCCUUUGCUCGAACAUGGUGGCUUCCAACCUCGUCAGCCUUUCCUCCAAUGCGGUCAGCAUGUCGCGGUACUUCUCCCUACACCCCCUCCUUUCCCUCAGAGGUUGUGAACUCUCUAUACCAUUGUUGCCAGACAUUAUAGACACUUAUAUUUCGAACAGUGCUACCCUUACUCGCGCGAACUCGCUAGCAUGACCCUUUGGCAAGAAUGUUAUUCCCCCAACAAGCUUGCUUCAAUCCUCACCAAAAGACACCUCACUUUGGUGGAGACAAUUCCCACUUCACCCAGCACGAGAGUGUCUUCACAACGGCUGCAAAGAUACCAAAUAUCAAUGGUAUCAGCAAGCUUUCACAUCAUCAUCGAGGAUCCCCAUUGCCUCAAAGUACCUCUCAACAGCUCACAAGAAAUUAUCUAUCUCCCUCGCACUACGCUCACCACUAUAAGGCUUAGGCUUGGGAGCAUCAUACCUUAUGUUGGCAGCAACCCCACUUGUGCUUGCACCACUACUACUUGCCACCGCGGUCUUGCAUAAGUUCAGCUCCACAUCGACAUGGUCCACCUUCUCCCGCAAUCGACGUAGAGUUUUCUCCAACUUAUCCCCC